RNAcentral lists this transfer RNA (72 nucleotides) under Camelus bactrianus (Bactrian camel). It matches the Rfam family "tRNA". From Rfam's summary of the family: Transfer RNA (tRNA) molecules are approximately 80 nucleotides in length. Their secondary structure includes four short double-helical elements and three loops (D, anti-codon, and T loops). The record is from Rfam by way of RNAcentral. Lineage: Eukaryota; Metazoa; Chordata; Mammalia; Artiodactyla; Camelidae. RNAcentral also lists the same sequence under 2 other names.
GGUGGUACAGCUCAGUGGUAGAGUGUGUGCUUAGCAUGCAAGAGGUCCCAGGUUCAAUCCCAGGUACCUCCA